Molecule: ribosomal RNA, 752 nt
Filed under: uncultured bacterium
Lineage: Bacteria
Description: bacterial SSU rRNA
Rfam family: Bacterial small subunit ribosomal RNA
Source: RNAcentral
AGAGUUUGAUCCUGGCUCAGAACGAACGCUGGCGGCAUGCCUAACACAUGCAAGUCGAACGUGAUCCAGGCUUCGGCCUGGUGAAAGUGGCAGACGGGUGAGUAACGCGUGGGAACCUGCCCUGUGGUAGGGAAUAACCGUGGGAAACUGCGGCUAAUACCCUAUGAGUCCUUCGGGAGAAAGAUUUAUCGCCAUAGGAGGGGCCCGCGUCGGAUUAGGUAGUUGGUGGGGUAACGGCCUACCAAGCCUUCGAUCCGUAGCUGGUCUGAGAGGAUGAUCAGCCACACUGGGACUGAGAUACGGCCCAGACUCCUACGGGAGGCAGCAGUGGGGAAUAUUGGACAAUGGGGGCAACCCUGAUCCAGCAAUGCCGCGUGGAUGAUGAAGGCCUUCGGGUUGUAAAGUCCUUUCGGCGGGGAAGAUGAUGACGGUACCCGCAGAAGAAGCCCCGGCUAACUUCGUGCCAGCAGCCGCGGUAAUACGAAGGGGGCUAGCGUUGUUCGGAGUUACUGGGCGUAAAGGGCGCGUAGGCUGUGCUGUAAGUCAGGCGUGAAAGCCCCGGGCUCAACCUGGGAAUUGCGCUUGAUACUGCGGCGCUGGAAGGUGGGAGAGGAUGGCGGAAUUCCCAGUGUAGAGGUGAAAUUCGUAGAUAUUGGGAAGAACACCGGUGGCGAAGGCGGCCAUCUGGCCCACAUUUGACGCUGAGGCGCGAAAGCGUGGGGAGCAAACAGGAUUAGAUACCCUAGUAGUCC